RNAcentral lists this ribosomal RNA (493 nucleotides) under uncultured bacterium. Its description in RNAcentral is "bacterial SSU rRNA". It matches the Rfam family "Bacterial small subunit ribosomal RNA", at positions 27 to 507 of the family's 1533-position model. The record is from RNAcentral.
GGAUGAACGCUAGCUACAGGCUUAACACAUGCAAGUCGAGGGGAAACGAUAGAGAAAGCUUGCUUUUUCUAGGCGUCGACCGGCGCACGGGUGAGUAACGCGUAUCCAACCUGCCCAUCACUUGGGGAUAACCUUGCGAAAGUAAGACUAAUACCCAAUGACGUCUCUAGAAGACAUCUGAAGGAGAUUAAAGAUUUAUCGGUGAUGGAUGGGGAUGCGUCUGAUUAGCUUGUUGGCGGGGUAACGGCCCACCAAGGCGACGAUCAGUAGGGGUUCUGAGAGGAAGGCCCCCCACAUUGGAACUGAGACACGGUCCAAACUCUUACGGGAGGCAGCAGUGAGGAAUAUUGGUCAAUGGACGAGAGUCUGAACCAGCCAAGUAGCGUGCAGGAUGACGGCCCUAUGGGUUGUAAACUUCUUUUAUAAAGGAAUAAAGUCGGGUAUGGAUACCCGUUUGCAUGUACUUUAUGAAUAAGGAUCGGCUAACUCCGUG